RNAcentral lists this ribosomal RNA (253 nucleotides) under uncultured bacterium. Its description in RNAcentral is "partial 16S ribosomal RNA". It matches the Rfam family "Bacterial small subunit ribosomal RNA", at positions 524 to 776 of the family's 1533-position model. The record is from RNAcentral.
UACGUAGGGGGCUAGCGUUGUCCGGAAUCAUUGGGCGUAAAGCGCGUGUAGGCGGUCCGGUAAGUCCGCUGUGAAAGUCGGGGGCUCAACCCUCGAAUGCCGGUGGAUACUGGCGAUCUCGAGUCCGGGAGAGGUGAGUGGAACUGCGAGUGUAGAGGUGAAAUUCGUAGAUAUUCGCAAGAACACCAGUGGCGAAGGCGGCUCACUGGCCCGGUACUGACGCUGAGGUGCGAAAGCGUGGGGAGCAAACAGG